Molecule: long non-coding RNA, 1097 nt
Filed under: Cervus hanglu yarkandensis (Yarkand deer)
Lineage: Eukaryota; Metazoa; Chordata; Mammalia; Artiodactyla; Cervidae
Description: lncRNA (ENSCHYG00000026785.1)
Source: RNAcentral
AUCUCUUUCUGCUUCAUGUGAAGAGGCACAUCUGACCUUAUCUGUGUGGGUUUAUGGUGGGAGACAGGCCCUGUGGGUAUUUAUUGACUUGAACUGAGGGGUCUCUCUGGCAUGUAGUUAAGCUUCAGAAGUAAAACCUCCUAGGUCCUUAUUUAGGGUGAGCAGUUGGUGAAGGAAAGCAUCAAGUUAGUAUUUUUCUCAGACAUCUGCAUUUCCAACUGAUUUAACUGACAAGUUGUUUCUCUUUCAGGCCCCACGAUUGAUACAGAGGACUGUCAUAUGAACCAGAGAGGGUACCUGAAACCAAAGAGAGGACUCUAGUGUGUAGCCAAAGGCAUGCCUCCAGGGGUGAGAAGGAGCAGAUAUCUUGACAAACAGGGCAUCAGACCAGCUGUGCAUGGUCAGCCUCUGAUUUGGGCCCAAAAGGAAAAGAAAAUCAGAGGAGACAGUGACUCUCAGACUCUUCCUUGUUAAUGAGCAAGAGUUCCCUGGAUCCAAGAGGCCUUUGCCUUCUGGCUUGCAGCUUCACAUUUGCAAGGUGGCUGCUGCACAUCUAACCUUUACACCCACAUUCCAGGCAGGAAUACUUGGAAAGAAUAAGGGUAAGUGAUUCUCUCCUAGUGAGAAAUUUCUCCUUUGCUAUUUAUUCAGAAAGGCAUGUUUUCCUUCACAUUGGUCAAAUGAGAAAGUUGAGAAAUGGAAAAGUUGAGCUUUUUAGCCUAUUUGACAAAGGAAGUCAAGGGCAUGGGAAACUGUGGAUUGUGUAGGGGUAUAUAGUCCAUAGAGUCUGCCACAGUGUGUCUCCCCAGAAACACACACACACACACACACAAACAGCUUUGCCAGGUAAUUCCAGGGAGUUUCUCUAAGUGGGAAGUACGAGGGGAGCCACUCAGUAGGGCCAAACUGAAAAGAGCAGCUCCAGCGGAUUCUCAGCUCAGCCCAAAGCCAGGGAGCAUGAGAGAAGCAAUUGGUGGGGAGAAGAUAGAAGUCAAAAGAUAAAGUGAAACUCUGUGAGUGGGAGGGUAGAGAAAGCCGAGUGGCAUUGAAGGCUAUAAGCACCAGACAUGGUACUAACAGUGAAAAAGACAUACAGU